CGGACCUGACUGCUAUCGGAUUGAUACUAAGCCAUGCGAGUCAUUGUAGCAAUACAAGGCAUACGGCUCAGUAACGCGUAGUCAACCUAACCUAUGGACGGGAAUAACCUCGGGAAACUGAGAACAAUGCCCGAUAGAACAUUAUGCCUGGAAUGGUUUAUGUUCCAAAUGAUUUAUCGCCGUAGGAUGGGACUGCGGCCUAUCAGUUUGUUGGUGAGGUAAUGGCCCACCAAGACCAUUACAGGUACGGGCUCUGAGAGGAGUAGCCCGGAGAUGGGUACUGAGACACGGACCCAGGCCCUAUGGGGCGCAGCAGGCGAGAAAACUUUGCAAUGUGCGAAAGCACGACAAGGUUAAUCCGAGUGGUUUCUGCUAAAGGAACCUUUUGUCAGUCCUAGAAACACUGAUGAAUAAGGGGUGGGCAAGUUCUGGUGUCAGCCGCCGCGGUAAAACCAGCACCUCAAGUGGUCAGGAUGAUUAUUGGGCCUAAAGCAUCCGUAGCCGGCUCUGUAAGUUUUCGGUUAAAUCUGUACGCUCAACGUACAGGCUGCCGGGAAUACUGCAAAGCUAGGGAGUGGGAGAGGUAGACGGUACUCGGUAGGAAGGGGUAAAAUCCUUUGAUCUAUUGAUGACCACCUGUGGCGAAGGCGGUCUACCAGAACACGUCCGACGGUGAGGGAUGAAAGCUGGGGGAGCAAACCGGAUUAGAUACCCGGGUAGUCCCAGCUGUAAACUAUGCAAACUCAGUGAUGCAUUGGCUUGUGGCCAAUGCAGUGCUGCAGGGAAGCCGUUAAGUUUGCCGCCUGGGAAGUACGUACGCAAGUAUGAAACUUGAAGGAAUUGGCGGGG
Molecule: ribosomal RNA, 849 nt
Filed under: uncultured archaeon
Lineage: Archaea
Description: bacterial SSU rRNA
Rfam family: Archaeal small subunit ribosomal RNA
Source: RNAcentral